CGAAAGAUUUGUACUUUGGAAUAACAUCAGAUUUCGACAAGAGAUUAGAAUCUCAUAAUCAAGGUAAGAACCAAUCUACAAAAUUUGGCGUACCUUGGGAGUUUGUAUACAUAGAAAGUUAUAGAUCAGAAAAAGAUGCGAGAGUUCGUGAACGAAAGUUAAAACAUUAUGGCAAUGCGCGAACUUAUGUAAAGAGACGAAUUAAAAAUAGUCUUUUGUAGCACGAAAAAGGUGCUGGGUGAUGGUACUGUAGGAAUAAGGAGCUGCUAACCUCGUGCCAGCAGCCGCGGUAAGACGAGGGCUCCAAGCGUUAUCCGGAUUUAUUGGGCGUAAAGAGUGCGUAGGAGGAUUUUUAAGUUUGCUGUAAAAUCUCGGGGCUUAACUUCGAGGCUGCAGCAAAUACUGAAAAUCUAGAGUGUGUAAGAGGCUGAUAGAACUCACGGUGUAGGGGUGAAAUCCGUUGAUAUCGUGGGGAAUACCAAAGGCGAAGGCAUUCAGCUGGUGCAUUACUGACUCUCAUUGCACGAAAGCGUGGGGAGCAAAAAGGAUUAGAUACCCUUGUAGUCCACGCCCUAAACUAUGUCAACUGGCUAUUUCGAGUAUCGACCCUCGGAGUGGCGAAGCUAACGCGUUAAGUUGACCGCCUGGGAAGUACGGCCGCAAGGCUAAAACUCAAAGGAAUAGACGGGGACUCGCACAAGCGGUGGAGCAUGAGGUUCAAUUCGACGGUAAACGAGGAACCUUACCAGGGUUAGAAAUCCAGACGAAGUCCCGCAGAAACGCGGGAUGUCUCUCAAGGACGGCUGGACAGGUGCUGCAUGGUUGUCGUCAGCUCGUGUUUUGAAAUGUUCCCUUAAGUGGGGUAACGAGCGCAACCCUUACCUGAUGUUAUAUGUGUCAUCGGGAACUGCCCUCUUUUUGGGGGAGGAAGGCGGGGAUGACGUCAAAUCCGCAUGGCCCUCUGAUACCCUGGGCUACACUCGUGCUACAAUGGCCAAUACAAUGGGUUGCCAAGCCGCAAGGCGGAGCUAAUCCCACCAAAAAUGGCCCCAGUUCAGAUUGGAGGCUGCAACUCGCCUCCAUGAAGUCGGAAUCGCUAGUAAUCGCGGAUCAGCUAUGCCGCGGUGAAUACGUUCUCGAGUCCUGUACUCACCGCCCGUCACUGCAGGGGAGCCGGGAAUACCUAAAGUUUCAUUUUAUGGAAUAAGGGUAGAUUCGGUGACAUGGCAGAAGUCGUAACAAGGCACGCGUAGCGGAAGCUGUGCGUG
RNAcentral lists this ribosomal RNA (1268 nucleotides) under Candidatus Harrisonbacteria bacterium RIFCSPLOWO2_02_FULL_45_10c. RNAcentral describes it as "bacterial SSU rRNA". It matches the Rfam family "Bacterial small subunit ribosomal RNA". Lineage: Bacteria; Candidatus Harrisoniibacteriota. The record is from RNAcentral.